GAACAAGUACCGUGAGGGAAAGGUGAAAAGAACCCCGGGAGGGGAGUGAAAUAGAGAAUCUGAAACCAUAUGCUUACAAAAAGUUCGAGCCCGUUAAAGGGUGAGAGCGUGCCUUUUGCAGAAUGAGCCGGCGAGUUAUGGUAUUGUGCAAGGUUAAGUAGAAAAUACGGAGCCGAAGCGAAAGCGAGUCUUAAAAGGGCGAAAAAGUACAAUGCUGUAGACCCGAAACUGAGUGAUCUAGCCAUGAGCAGGUUGAAGUGUAGGUAACACUACAUGGAGGACCGAACCAGGGUACUAUGUAACGUGCUUGGAUGACUUGUGGUUAGCGGUGAAAUUCCAAUCGAACUCAGAGAUAGCUGGUUCUCCCCGAAAUAGGUUUAGGCCUAGCCUUGAAGAAUUUCCUCUGGAGGUAGAGCACUGAAUGUGGAAUGGCCGCGUCUAGCGGUACUGACUGCAAUCAACCUCCGAAUGCCAGAGUAGUUAGCUUCAGGAGUCAGUUUAUGGGUGAUAACGUCCAUAUGCGAGAGAAAAACAAUUCAGACCACCAGUUAAGGUCCCAAAAUAUAUGUUAAGUGGGAAAGGAUGUGGAGUUGCACGAACAGCUAGGAGGUUGGCUCAGAAGCAGCCAUCCUUUAAAGAGUGCGUAAUAGCUCACUAGUCGAGUGGCUCUGCGCCGAAAAUGUACCGGGGCUAAACAUAUUACCGAAACUGUGGAUUUAUGCGAUAGCAUAAGUGGUAGGGGAGCGUUCUAAGGGCGACGAAGAUAGAUCGAGAGGACUAUUGGAGCGCUUAGAAGUGAGAAUGCCGGUGUGAGUAACGUAAGGUAGGUGAGAAUCCUACCCACUGAUUGACCAAGGAUUCCAGGGUCAAGUUCGUCUACCCUGGGUAAGUCAGGACCUAAGGCGAGGCUGAGAAGCGUAGUCGAUGGACAACAGGUUUAUAUUCCUGUACUAUUUAUAGGACUGAAGGAGUGACAAAGGAAGCUAGUAAGAGCCAUUUAAUGGAUUAUGGUCUAAGCACAAAGACUGAUACAUAGGAAAAUCCGUGAUAUCGAACGGUUGAAGUGUGAUGGCGAAGCAGUCUACGGACAGCGAAGUCUUAUGAUGCUAAACUUUUUAAAAAAGCUUCUAAAGAAAUGCUAUAAAUACCUGUACUAAGAACCAACGCAGGUGGUCAAGGAGAGAAUCCUAAGGUGAGCGAGAGAACUAUGGUUAAGGAACUCGGCACAAUGAUCCCGUAACUUCGGAAUAAGGGAAGGUCUUGAAAAAGACCCGCAGUGAAUAGGCCCAAGCGACUGUUUACCAAAAACACAGGUUUCUGCAAAAGCGUAAGCUGAAGUAUAGGAGCUGACGCCUGCCCAGUGCUGGAAGGUUAAGAUGAUUUGUAAGAUGGACGAAAGUCGAUAACAUCGAAGCAAUGAAUUGAAGCCCCAGUGAACGGCGGCGAUAACUAUAAUCGUCCAAAGGUAGCGAAAUUCCUUGUCAGGUAAGUUCUGACCCGCACGAAAGGCGUAACGAUUUGGGCACUGUCUCAACCAUAGACUCGGUGAAAUCUUAAUACCUGUGAAAAUGCAGGUUAC
RNAcentral lists this ribosomal RNA (1579 nucleotides) under human gut metagenome. RNAcentral describes it as "bacterial LSU rRNA". It matches the Rfam family "Bacterial large subunit ribosomal RNA", at positions 492 to 2069 of the family's 2925-position model. The record is from RNAcentral.